UGGGGAAUUUUGGACAAUGGAUCCAAGUCUGAUCCAGCCAUGCCGCGUGCGGGAAGAAGGCCUUCUGGUUGUAAACCUCUUUUGUCAGGGAAGAAAUGAGUUUCUCUAAUACAGAGACUUAAUGACGGUACCUGAAGAAUAAGCACCGUCUAACUACGUGCCAGCAGCCGCGGUAAUACGUAGGCUGCAAGCGUUAAUCGGAAUUACUGGGCGUAAAGCGUGCGCAGGCGGUUUAGUAAGACAGGCGUGAAAGCCCCGGGCUCAACCUGGGAACUGCGCUUGUGACUGCUUAGCUAGAGUACGGCAGAGGGGGGUGGAAUUCCACGUGUAGCAGUGAAAUGCGUAGAUAUGCGGAGGAACACCGAUGGCGAAGGCAAUCCCCUGGACCUGUACUGACGCUCAUGCACGAAAGCGUGGGGAGCAAACA
This 427-nucleotide ribosomal RNA is filed under the name uncultured bacterium. Its description in RNAcentral is "bacterial SSU rRNA". It matches the Rfam family "Bacterial small subunit ribosomal RNA", at positions 355 to 774 of the family's 1533-position model. The record is from RNAcentral.